Molecule: ribosomal RNA, 253 nt
Filed under: uncultured bacterium
Lineage: Bacteria
Description: partial 16S ribosomal RNA
Rfam family: Bacterial small subunit ribosomal RNA
Source: RNAcentral
UACGAAGGGGACUAGCGUUGUUCGGAUUUACUGGGCGUAAAGCGCGCGUAGGCGGAUCGCUAAGUCAGGGGUGAAAUCCCAGGGCUCAACCCUGGAACUGCCUUUGAUACUGACGAUCUGGAGAUCGGGAGAGGUUGGUGGAAUUCCGAGUGUAGAGGUGAAAUUCGUAGAUAUUCGGAGGAACACCAGAAGCGAAGGCGGCCAACUGGCCCGAUACUGACGCUGAGGCGCGAAAGCGUGGGGAGCGAACCGG